AUCUAGAUGAUGAGUCCCAAAUAGGACGAAAUGCGCUUUAUUCUGGAU
Molecule: non-coding RNA, 48 nt
Filed under: Trichobilharzia regenti
Lineage: Eukaryota; Metazoa; Platyhelminthes; Trematoda; Strigeidida; Schistosomatidae
Source: RNAcentral